This 400-nucleotide ribosomal RNA is filed under the name uncultured bacterium. Its description in RNAcentral is "bacterial SSU rRNA". It matches the Rfam family "Archaeal small subunit ribosomal RNA", at positions 339 to 740 of the family's 1478-position model. The record is from RNAcentral.
GCGCGAAAACUUUACAAUGCUGGCAACAGCGAUAAGGGAACCUCGAGUGCCAGGUUACAAAUCUGGCUGUCGAGAUGCCUAAAAAGCAUUUCAUAGCAAGGGCCGGGCAAGACCGGUGCCAGCCGCCGCGGUAACACCGGCGGCUCGAGUGGUAACCGUUAUUAUUGGGUCUAAAGGGUCUGUAGCCGGCCGGAUAAGUCUCUUGAGAAAUCUGGCAGCUUAACUGUCAGGCUUUCAGGAGAUACUGUCUGGCUCGAGGCCGGGAGAGGUGAGAGGUACUUCAGGGGUAGGGUGAAAUCUUGUAAUCCUUGAAGGACCACCAGUGGCGAAGGCGUCUCACCAGAACGGACCUGACGGCAAGGGACGAAAGCUAGGGGCACGAACCGGAUUAGAGACCCGA